GAGUUUGAUCCUGGCUCAGAUUGAACGCUGGCGGCAUGCCUUACACAUGCAAGUCGAACGGCAGCACGGGAGCUUGCUCCUGGUGGCGAGUGGCGAACGGGUGAGUAAUGCAUCGGAACGUAUCCUGGAGUGGGGGAUAACGUAGCGAAAGUUACGCUAAUACCGCAUAUUCUGUGAGCAGGAAAGCGGGGGACCUUCGGGCCUCGCGCUCUUGGAGCGGCCGAUGUCGGAUUAGCUAGUUGGUGAGGUAAAGGCUCACCAAGGCGACGAUCCGUAGCAGGUCUGAGAGGAUGAUCUGCCACACUGGAACUGAGACACGGUCCAGACCCCUACGGGAGGCAGCAGUGGGGAAUUUUGGACAAUGGGGGCAACCCUGAUCCAGCCAUGCCGCGUGAGUGAAGAAGGCCUCGGUUGUAAG
RNAcentral lists this ribosomal RNA (418 nucleotides) under bacterium enrichment culture clone ALO1_GLFRUDD03FYFO7. Its description in RNAcentral is "bacterial SSU rRNA". It matches the Rfam family "Bacterial small subunit ribosomal RNA", at positions 9 to 429 of the family's 1533-position model. The record is from RNAcentral.